GCUUAAUUAGUGUGAAAUUUCCAUAAAUUGUAGGUAUAAACACAUUCCUUAAUGAGUUUUGAUCAUUCUUUGAUCCUUUGGAAUAAGGAGAAUCAACACAGCAGGUCUUUACCAAGUCGUUUCUCCAGAUGCACCUAUCUAGUAUGUUUCUGUUCGCAGGUUCUCUACUUAGGACAAUAACCUGGUGCAAAUCAUGGAUGCAUGGAUUCUCCUCAGUCCUCACAAGGGUCACCUUUACUUUCUGUGUCCGUCAAACUUGACACAUCUGAGCUUUAGAAGAAACGAUGCAGUUCUUCGCGUGGAGUUAGUAGCUUCGGUUGCUGUAAUUAACUUGAUCAAGAUGGAAUUGGACAGAGUCAGAGUGUCAUGAGACCCAUAGAAGACUUGUUCAUCUCCAAGUGUCUAAAACGACUACCAUGUUUGUGGAGACUCUAUUAAGUGGAAAUUACUUCAGUUUCUUAAUGCACAUGCAAAACAUUUCUGCAAGAGCAUCAAUUUGCGAAUUGUGCUAAGAUCGUUGCUUCUCAAUUAAGAGGCACAGUGGAUAGGAUUUUGAUUGAAUCAACAGAUGCUGUGAUAAAGAACGCUAUCACCACAACCUGCAGUAGCUAUGAGAGCCCUCAACGUGGUCCACCCUUGCCAUGAGCUAUAUGCUUUGAAGUUCAAAUGAUUAACACUGAUGAGGAGUGCUUGCAUCAAAAGGGGUUUUGGUGGAUGAGAUUCAUCGCCUAAUUGAGUUAUGAUGAGACCCCAAAACUACUGUUGAGUAUGUUCCUAGUAAAGCUAAUGGAGCUGCUCACUGGAUUGCUCAGUUUUGUCUUCGUGAAUCAGCCCAUCAUUUUGGAUGGAUGAGUGCCAUCCUUGACUACUCAUGGAUUGCAUUCAAGAUGAUUGUCCUUCUCUGCAUUCCUUUCCUUGAUUCUAUUGUAAUUUCU
Molecule: non-coding RNA, 935 nt
Organism: Prunus avium (sweet cherry)
Lineage: Eukaryota; Viridiplantae; Streptophyta; Magnoliopsida; Rosales; Rosaceae
Source: RefSeq, a predicted model, not a curated record